CCUACGGGAGGCAGCAGUGGGGAAUAUUGCACAAUGGGGGAAACCCUGAUGCAGCAACGCCGCGUGAGUGAAGAAGUAUUUCGGUAUGUAAAGCUCCAUCAGCAGGGAAGAAGAUGACGGUACCUGAUUAAGAAGCCCCGGCUAACCACGUGCCAGCAGCCGCGGUAAUACGUAGGGGGCAAGCGUUAUCCGGAUUUACUGGGCGAAAAGGGUGCGUAGGUGGUUUCUUAAGUCAGAGGUGAAAGGCUACGGCUCAACCGUAGUAAGCCUUUGAAACUGGGGAACUUGAGUGCAGGAGAGGAGAGUGGAAUUCCUAGUGUAGCGGUGAAAUGCGUAGAUAUUAGGAGGAACACCAGUUGCGAAGGCGGCUCUCUGAACUGUAACUGACACUGAGGCACGAAAGCGUGGGGAGCAAACAGGAUUAGAUACCCGAGUAGUC
This 439-nucleotide ribosomal RNA is filed under the name uncultured bacterium. RNAcentral describes it as "partial 16S ribosomal RNA". It matches the Rfam family "Bacterial small subunit ribosomal RNA", at positions 338 to 795 of the family's 1533-position model. The record is from RNAcentral.